Molecule: ribosomal RNA, 1372 nt
Filed under: uncultured bacterium
Lineage: Bacteria
Description: bacterial SSU rRNA
Rfam family: Bacterial small subunit ribosomal RNA
Source: RNAcentral
GAUGAACGCUGGCGGUGUGCCUAAUACAUGCAAGUCGAGCGAACGGACGAGAAGCUUGCUUCUCUGAUGUUAGCGGCGGACGGGUGAGUAACACGUGGAUAACCUACCUAUAAGACUGGGAUAACUUCGGGAAACCGGAGCUAAUACCGGAUAAUAUUUUGAACCGCAUGGUUCAAAAGUGAAAGACGGUCUUGCUGUCACUUAUAGAUGGAUCCGCGCUGCAUUAGCUAGUUGGUAAGGUAACGGCUUACCAAGGCAACGAUGCAUAGCCGACCUGAGAGGGUGAUCGGCCACACUGGAACUGAGACACGGUCCAGACUCCUACGGGAGGCAGCAGUAGGGAAUCUUCCGCAAUGGGCGAAAGCCUGACGGAGCAACGCCGCGUGAGUGAUGAAGGUCUUCGGAUCGUAAAACUCUGUUAUUAGGGAAGAACAUAUGUGUAAGUAACUGUGCACAUCUUGACGGUACCUAAUCACAAAGCCACGGCUAACUACGUGCCAGCAGCCGCGGUAAUACGUAUGUGGCCAGCGUUAUCCGGAAUUAUUGGGCGUAAAGCGCGCGUAUGCGGUUCUUUAAGUCUGAUGUGAAAGCCCACGGCUCAACCGUGGAGGGUCAUUGGAAACUGGAAAACUUGAGUGCAGAAGAGGAAAGUGGAAUUCCAUGUGUAGCGGUGAAAUGCGCAGAGAUAUGGAGGAACACCAGUGGCGAAGGCGACUUUCUGGUCUGUAACUGACGCUGAUGUGCGAAAGCGUGGGGAUCAAACAGGAUUAGAUACCCUGGUAGUCCACGCCGUAAACGAUGAGUGCUAAGUGUUAGGGGGUUUCCGCCCCUUAGUGCUGCAGCUAACGCAUUAAGCACUCCGCCUGGGGAGUACGACCGCAAGGUUGAAACUCAAAGGAAUUGACGGGGACCCGCACAAGCGGUGGAGCAUGUGGUUUAAUUCGAAGCAACGCGAAGAACCUUACCAAAUCUUGACAUCCUUUGACAACUCUAGAGAUAGAGCCUUCCCCUUCGGGGGACAAAGUGACAGGUGGUGCAUGGUUGUCGUCAGCUCGUGUCGUGAGAUGUUGGGUUAAGUCCCGCAACGAGCGCAACCCUUAAGCUUAGUUGCCAUCAUUAAGUUGGGCACUCUAAGUUGACUGCCGGUGACAAACCGGAGGAAGGUGGGGAUGACGUCAAAUCAUCAUGCCCCUUAUGAUUUGGGCUACACACGUGCUACAAUGGACAAUACAAAGGGCAGCGAAACCGCGAGGUCAAGCAAAUCCCAUAAAGUUGUUCUCAGUUCGGAUUGUAGUCUGCAACUCGACUACAUGAAGCUGGAAUCGCUAGUAAUCGUAGAUCAGCAUGCUACGGUGAAUACGUUCCCGGGUCU